Hordeum vulgare subsp. vulgare (domesticated barley) is the source of this 526-nucleotide long non-coding RNA. RefSeq lists it as uncharacterized. NCBI's taxonomy places the organism in Eukaryota, Viridiplantae, Streptophyta, Magnoliopsida, Poales, Poaceae. The record is from RefSeq and is a predicted model, not a curated record. The transcript has 2 exons.
CCUCCGACGAAGAGAAAAGGUGCCAGUACUACUACUUAUAAUCACUCUGCCCGUAUGAGCCAUCCUGCAAUUUGGUUGAUGGAAGUGAUCAAGAGAAGGUGCAGGACUCCUUGGUUUUCAACGGGCGGGGAAGGAAGACGGCGUGCGUACGUCCCAUGCCCCGGCUGGAUUCUUGGCACGCGGAAUGCGUUUCGCGGGUUCCGCGGCGCGCCCUCGUAACGGCGUCCUUCCGUGGACAAGGCCUCGACUGUACGUACGGCUCCUUCCGCUGCCGCACCGCAGCUCUCGGUUGGAAAGGCGCCCCUUCAAUCGACCGGCCUUUGCCUUUUCUUUCCUUCGUUCUCCCUCUCUCCGUCUCGACUCUGAACCCUGAAGGCCAGUCCACCUCCAGAGCGUACGCAGCUGUUCCCACAAGUUUAAUGCGAUGAUUUCUUUCUUUCUUUCAUUUUUUGAGUACGUCGGAGAAGUGCGCAUCUUUGCGUUUGUGCAAGGAAAACCAGAUGAGAAAGAAAGGCCUUUAGGUCAA